RNAcentral lists this ribosomal RNA (468 nucleotides) under uncultured bacterium. RNAcentral describes it as "partial 16S ribosomal RNA". It matches the Rfam family "Bacterial small subunit ribosomal RNA", at positions 28 to 507 of the family's 1533-position model. The record is from RNAcentral.
GACGAACGCUGGCGGCGUGCUUAGCACAUGCAAGUCGAACGGAAAGGCCCUGCUUUUGUGGGGUGCUCGAGUGGCGAACGGGUGAGUAACACGUGAGUAACCUGCCCUUGACUUUGGGAUAACUUCAGGAAACUGGGGCUAAUACCGGAUAGGAGCUCCUGCUGCAUGGUGGGGGUUGGAAAGUUUCGGCGGUUGGGGAUGGACUCGCGGCUUAUCAGCUUGUUGGUGGGGUAGUGGCUUACCAAGGCUUUGACGGGUAGCCGGCCUGAGAGGGUGACCGGCCACAUUGGGACUGAGAUACGGCCCAGACUCCUACGGGAGGCAGCAGUGGGGAAUAUUGCACAAUGGGCGGAAGCCUGAUGCAGCAACGCCGCGUGCGGGAUGACGGCCUUCGGGUUGUAAACCGCUUUCGCCUGUGACGAAGCGUGAGAGACGGUAAUGGGUAAAGAAGCACCGGCUAACUACGUG